Molecule: ribosomal RNA, 452 nt
Filed under: uncultured organism
Description: partial 16S ribosomal RNA
Rfam family: Bacterial small subunit ribosomal RNA
Source: RNAcentral
UACACUCCUACGGGAGGCAGCAGUGGGGAAUCUUGCGCAAUGGGCGAAAGCCUGACGCAGCCAUGCCGCGUGAAUGAUGAAGGUCUUAGGAUUGUAAAAUUCUUUCACCGGGGACGAUAAUGACGGUACCCGGAGAAGAAGCCCCGGCUAACUUCGUGCCAGCAGCCGCGGUAAUACGAAGGGGGCUAGCGUUGCUCGGAAUUACUGGGCGUAAAGGGAGCGUAGGCGGACAUUUAAGUCAGGGGUGAAAUCCCGGGGCUCAACCUCGGAAUUGCCUUUGAUACUGGGUGUCUUGAGUAUGAGAGAGGUGUGUGGAACUCCGAGUGUAGAGGUGAAAUUCGUAGAUAUUCGGAAGAACACCAGUGGCGAAGGCGACACACUGGCUCAUUACUGACGCUGAGGCUCGAAAGCGUGGGGAGCAAACAGGAUUAGAUACCCGAGUAGUCCCAUGA